AUUGAACGCUGGCGGCAGGCCUAACACAUGCAAGUCGAACGGUAGCACAGAGAGCUUGCUCUCGGGUGACGAGUGGCGGACGGGUGCGUAACGUCUGGGAAACUGCCCGAUGGAGGGGGAUAACUACUGGAAACGGUAGCUAAUACCGCAUAACGUCGCAAUACCAAAGUGGCGGACCUUCGGGCCCCACACCAUCGGAUGGCCCAAGAUGGGAUUGGCUAGUAGGUGGGGUAAUGGCUCACCUAGGCGACGAUCCCUAGCUGGUCUGAGAGGAUGACCAGCCACACUGGAACUGAGACACGGUCCAGACUCCUACGGGAGGCAGCAGUGGGGAAUAUUGCACAAUGGGCGCAAGCCUGAUGCAGCCAUGCCGCGUGUAUGAAGAAGGCCUUCGGGUUGUAAAGUACUUUCAGCGGGGAGGAAGGCGGUGAAGUUAAUAGCUUCACCGAUUGACGUUACCCGCAGAAGAAGCACCGGCUAACUCCGUGCCAGCAGCCGCGGUAA
This 504-nucleotide ribosomal RNA is filed under the name uncultured bacterium. RNAcentral's name for it is "partial 16S ribosomal RNA". It matches the Rfam family "Bacterial small subunit ribosomal RNA", at positions 30 to 523 of the family's 1533-position model. The record is from RNAcentral.